GAAUUAGGCUCCCCCUCAAGCUUCUAACUUGAGAACAACAAUUAAAUUUGUUAUAAUUCU
RNAcentral lists this transfer RNA (60 nucleotides) under Nepiomorpha sp. NespEL. RNAcentral describes it as "tRNA-Ser". The record is from RNAcentral. Lineage: Eukaryota; Metazoa; Arthropoda; Insecta; Psocodea; Elipsocidae.